This 372-nucleotide ribosomal RNA is filed under the name uncultured organism. RNAcentral describes it as "bacterial SSU rRNA". It matches the Rfam family "Bacterial small subunit ribosomal RNA", at positions 526 to 896 of the family's 1533-position model. The record is from RNAcentral.
CGAAGGGUGCAAGCGUUAGUCGGAAUUACUGGGCGUAAAGCGUGCGUAGGCGGUCUCUUAAGUCCGUUGUGAAAGCCCUGGGCUCAACCUGGGAACUGCAGUGGAUACUGAGAAGCUAGAGUGUGUCAGAGGAUGGUGGAAUUCCCGGUGUAGCGGUGAAAUGCGUAGAGAUCGGGAGGAACAUCAGUGGCGAAGGCGGCCAUCUGGGACAACACUGACGCUGAGGCACGAAAGCGUGGGGAGCAAACAGGAUUAGAUACCCUGGUAGUCCACGCCCUAAACGAUGCGAACUGGAUGUUGGGCUCAACUCGGAGCUCAGUGUCGAAGCUAACGCGUUAAGUUCGCCGCCUGGGGAGUACGCUCGCAAGAGUG